UACGUAGGGGGCUAGCGUUGUCCGGAAUCAUUGGGCGUAAAGCGCGUGUAGGCGGUCCGGUAAGUCCGCUGUGAAAGUCGAGGGCUCAACCCUCGAAUGCCGGUGGAUACUGUCGGGCUUGAGCUCACUAGAGGCAGAUGGAAUUCCGGGUGUAGCGGUGGAAUGCGUAGAGAUCCGGAAGAACACCGGUGGCGAAGGCGGUCUGCUGGGGUGAUGCUGACACUGAUGCGCGACAGCGUGGGGAGCAAACAGG
Molecule: ribosomal RNA, 253 nt
Filed under: uncultured bacterium
Lineage: Bacteria
Description: partial 16S ribosomal RNA
Rfam family: Bacterial small subunit ribosomal RNA
Source: RNAcentral